CAGGACUGAGAACACAAAUCAGAAUGAAAUUCAGAGACAAAACAGUUCUCCUCUCCAAGAUGAUGCUUGUUUCUAUGAAUCAAUCAAAGACUGCGACGACACACAAAAUGAUGAAUCUGGGGAUUUCACAUAUUCUUUGAUUGAGUUAAAAAACUUCACAAUGAAAG
Long non-coding RNA from Pundamilia nyererei, 167 nucleotides. RefSeq lists it as uncharacterized. NCBI's taxonomy places the organism in Eukaryota, Metazoa, Chordata, Actinopteri, Cichliformes, Cichlidae. The transcript has 3 exons. The record is from RefSeq and is a predicted model, not a curated record.